UGAAACUUAGUAACUGAGUAGAGAUGC
RNAcentral lists this non-coding RNA (27 nucleotides) under Mus musculus (house mouse). The record is from RNAcentral. Lineage: Eukaryota; Metazoa; Chordata; Mammalia; Rodentia; Muridae.